AGAUAACAUACUUCUGCCUGAAGCAAUUGCUUUGAACAGGAACAACUUCUGCUUCAGCAUUUCUGCAAUUUUAAGCAGACUGUUGUAGAGACAUUAACUAAACAACAUCCACAGCAGUUGUCAAAGAAAGACAUGGUGUCUUUCUCUACAAGAAAGACAAAUUUUAAACUUUUAUAUACUGGGAAAUUCCAAACUCAAGAUUUUUUCCCAAGAACAACAUGAUGAAGAAAAUUCAUCCCAGAUAUCUUCCAUGCUUUGAGGAGCUUGAAUGCUGCUAAUCGACUGUCAAAGCAC
RNAcentral lists this long non-coding RNA (294 nucleotides) under Coturnix japonica (Japanese quail). RNAcentral's name for it is "lncRNA (ENSCJPG00005018227.1)". Lineage: Eukaryota; Metazoa; Chordata; Aves; Galliformes; Phasianidae. The record is from RNAcentral.